This 555-nucleotide ribosomal RNA is filed under the name uncultured bacterium. RNAcentral's name for it is "partial 16S ribosomal RNA". It matches the Rfam family "Bacterial small subunit ribosomal RNA", at positions 355 to 900 of the family's 1533-position model. The record is from RNAcentral.
UGGGGAAUUUUGGACAAUGGGCGAAAGCCUGAUCCAGCAAUGCCGCGUGUGUGAAGAAGGCCUUCGGGUUGUAAAGCACUUUUGUCCGGAAAGAAAUCCUUGGCUCUAAUACAGUCGGGGGAUGACGGUACCGGAAGAAUAAGCACCGGCUAACUACGUGCCAGCAGCCGCGGUAAUACGUAGGGUGCAAGCGUUAAUCGGAAUUACUGGGCGUAAAGCGUGCGCAGGCGGUUUGCUAAGACCGAUGUGAAAUCCCCGGGCUCAACCUGGGAACUGCAUUGGUGACUGGCAGGCUAGAGUAUGGCAGAGGGGGGUAGAAUUCCACGUGUAGCAGUGAAAUGCGUAGAGAUGUGGAGGAAUACCGAUGGCGAAGGCAGCCCCCUGGGCCAAUACUGACGCUCAUGCACGAAAGCGUGGGGGAGCAAACAGGAUUAGAUACCCUGGUAGUCCACGCCCUAAAACGAUGUCAACUAGUUGUUGGGGGAUUCAUUUCCUUAGUAACGUAGCUAACGCGUGAAGUUGACCGCCUGGGGAGUACGGUCGCAAGAUUAAAAC